GUACACGCUGUGACUAGCAUAUCAAUAAGCGGAGGAAAAGAAACUAACAAGGAUUCCCCUAGUAACGGCGAGUGAAGCGGGAAGAGCUCAAAUUUGAAAUCUUAAAGGGUUUCCCUUUACGAAUUGUAGUUUAAAGAAGUGUUUUCUGUUGAGGUUUUGGUAAAAGUUCUCUUGGAAUAGGACAUCAUAGAGGGUGAGAAUCCCGUAUUUGACCUUUACUUUCAACUUUGUGAUACACUUUCAAAGAGUCGGAUUGUUUGGGAAUGCAGUCCAAAAUGGGUGGUAAAUUUCAUCUAAAGCUAAAUAUUGGCGAGAGACCGAUAGCGAACAAGUACCGUGAGGGAAAGAUGAAAAGAACUUUGAAAAGAGAGUUAAACAGUACGUGAAAUUGUCAAAAGGGAAGCGCUUGACACCAGUGUUGUUUUUCUGAAAAUCAAUUAAAGAACUGUUUAUGCUAAGUUGUUUAGACUUUAUCAGCUAACUGUUUAGUUUUGAGCUUUUCUUUAAUGCACUUUUCAGCUAACAAGUCAACAUCAAUUUCUUUUGCUGUAAAAAAGCUUGAGGAAGGUGGCUUGAGAUUCGUCUUAAGUGUUUAUAGCCUCUUGCCUAUGCAGUCGGAGAGAUUGAGGUCUUGCAGCGUAGAUCCUUCGGGGCUAAAUGCAUUUGUGCUAAGUUAUAGCAUUUCAUAGACAACUUGUUGACUAUGAUUUGUCUUGUAGCUUACUCGCUUAUGUUAUUUUACCUACGCUUAGGAUGUUGACAGCAGUAUAGACUGU
Molecule: ribosomal RNA, 776 nt
Filed under: uncultured Neocallimastigales
Lineage: Eukaryota; Fungi; Neocallimastigomycota; Neocallimastigomycetes; Neocallimastigales
Description: partial large subunit ribosomal RNA
Rfam family: Eukaryotic large subunit ribosomal RNA
Source: RNAcentral